AGUCGAACGGAGUAAUAAAAUAAGUUUACUUAGAUUAUUACUUAGUGGCGAACGGGUGAGUAACGCGUGGGUAACCUGCCCUUAAGACCGGGACAACAGCUGGAAACGGCUGCUAAUACCGGAUGGAUUUAUUGGAAGGCAUCUUCUAAUAAGGAAAGCUGGCCUCUGUAUAUGCUAGCGCUUAGGGAUGGAUCCGCGUCUGAUUAGCUAGUUGGUAGGGUAAUGGCCUACCAAGGCGACGAUCAGUAGCCGGCCUGAGAGGGUAAACGGCCACACUGGGACUGAGACACGGCCCAGACUCCUACGGGAGGCAGCAGUGGGGAAUCUUCCGCAAUGGACGAAAGUCUGACGGAGCAACGCCGCGUGUAUGAAGAAGGCCUUCGGGUUGUAAAAUACUGUUGUUGGGGAAGAACGGCUGGAGUGUAAAUAAUGCUUCAGAUUGACGGUACCCAACGAGGAAGCCCCGGCUAACUACGUG
RNAcentral lists this ribosomal RNA (478 nucleotides) under uncultured bacterium. RNAcentral describes it as "bacterial SSU rRNA". It matches the Rfam family "Bacterial small subunit ribosomal RNA", at positions 60 to 507 of the family's 1533-position model. The record is from RNAcentral.